Benincasa hispida (wax gourd) is the source of this 2874-nucleotide RNA transcript. It is a transcript of the gene named internal alternative NAD(P)H-ubiquinone oxidoreductase A1, mitochondrial-like, with no coding region annotated. The record is from RefSeq and is a predicted model, not a curated record. NCBI's taxonomy places the organism in Eukaryota, Viridiplantae, Streptophyta, Magnoliopsida, Cucurbitales, Cucurbitaceae.
CUCAAAUCCCAAGCAUUUGUUAGGUAAUGAGAAGAAGAGCCACUUUUUCUGUUACUUCUUCUUUUUCGCCCAAUCUUCACCGUUUUCUUUAUUUUCCAACCACACAGAUUCGAAUAAUAACAAAGAAUCUUUGAAUAUUCCAUUGCAUCCAUGGCGUGGCUCAGGUAUCUGAAGAAACUUUCACCCACUAAACCACUACUCAGAUCCACAAAUCCACACCCAUUUCUUCCCUUCCCCUUCCUCCUCUCUCAUUUUACCUCUCUCCCCAUCUCCGAUGCGGCGGCGGUUUCACGGCCGCCGGCACUUGGACCGACGGAGACCGGCGAGAAGCCGAGGGUGGUGGUUUUGGGUUCCGGCUGGGCAGGUUGCAGAGUCAUGAAGGGCUUGGACACAAGCAUAUACGACGUCGUUUGUGUUUCGCCUCGUAACCACAUGGUCUUCACUCCUCUUCUCGCUUCAACUUGCGUUGGAACUCUGGAAUUCAGAUCCGUCGCUGAACCUAUCGCCCGGAUCCAGCCCGCCAUUUCUCGCGAACCUGGUUCUUAUUUCUUCCUCGCUAAUUGUACUGCCGUCAACACUGAUGAACAUUCGGUGCAAUGUGAAACGGUUACUGAUGGGUUGAACACUUUGGAACCGUGGAGGUUUAAAUUAUCAUAUGAUAAGUUGAUCAUAGCGUUGGGAUCCCAGCCGUUAACUUUUGGGAUUCAUGGGGUCAAAGAACACGCUAUUUUUCUUCGUGAGGUUUAUCAUGCUCAGGAAAUUCGUAGGAAGUUGCUUUUGAACUUGAUGUUAUCUGAUGUUCCAGGCAUCUCAGAGGAAGAGAAACGUCGGCUUCUACACUGUGUUGUUGUUGGAGGAGGACCAACAGGAGUUGAGUUCAGUGGGGAGCUUAGUGAUUUUAUCAUGAAAGAUGUUACUCAAAGAUAUGCUCAUGUGAAAGAUUAUAUCCAAGUUACUUUGAUUGAGGCAAAUGAGAUAUUGUCUUCCUUUGAUGAUAGACUCCGGCAUUAUGCUACUAAGCAAUUGACAAAGUCAGGAGUUCAACUUGUACGCGGCAUUGUCAAAGAUGUUAAACCUCAGAGCAUCAUUCUCAAUGAUGGUUCUGAGGUUCCUUAUGGGUUACUAGUUUGGUCUACUGGUGUUGGGCCCUCACCUUUUGUAAAUUCCUUGGAAGUUCCAAAGUCUCCUGGUGGCAGGAUUGGAAUAGAUGAGUGGUUACGUAUUCCUUCUGUGGAAGAUGUGUUUGCAAUAGGUGAUUGCAGUGGGUUCCUAGAGAGUACAGGGAAACAAGUUCUUCCAGCUUUGGCCCAGGUAGCAGAGCGCCAAGGCAAAUAUUUAGCAGCCUUGCUGAAUAAAAUUGGUAAAGAAGGUGGAGCACGAGCAGGUAGCGGAAAAGACUUGGAACUUGGAGCGCCUUUUGUCUACAAGCAUCUCGGAAGUAUGGCAACAAUUGGAAGAUACAAGGCUCUUGUCGACCUUAGGCAGAGUAAAGAAGCAAAGGGGUUAUCCAUGGCAGGGUUCCUCAGUUGGUUCGUUUGGCGUUCGGCUUAUCUAACACGUGUCAUAAGCUGGAGGAACAGAUUGUACGUGGCAGUGAACUGGGCUACAACUUUCAUCUUCGGUCGUGAUAUAAGCCGAAUAUAGAAUUAGAAGUAAGAACUCAACGUCCCGCUUCCACGUACCGAAAGUACAAAAAAGAAAAAAGAAAAAAAAAAAAGAAAAAAAAAAAAAAAGAAAAGAAAAGAAAAGAAAAAGUUUUCUAGUUGGGCCUCAUUGAUCAUCAUAUCAUGUGCAGUACUACCACUGCUACAGAAGUAAGUUGUUCAUCAAGAGAAACCCUCUUGCUGACUAUUCUCUCUGUGUGAAUCUGAAGUAAAAUUAUCAGAUCCUUGUGGUUCAUAUGAAAAUCUGAUUCAUGGCUGCUCAAGUGCAAUUUCUCAUCAGAAGCUCACUGUACAGUUUAUUUCCAUCAACUUAUUGUGUUAAAUCCAAAGCAUUAUUGCAUGUUCAUAGAAAUCCAAAUGAAGCCAAUCAUAAGAAUUAACUUAAAAAGCAAAUGAAUUAUUCACAUCUCUACCGGAGUCAUCAAUGUGGAAAAACAUACUGGAUUCACUGCCAUACUCUUCUUCAACCAACAAGUUGACUACAAAUGAUUUCCUUCAUCUCUUUCGCCCUGGAAAACCGUCCUGCCUGCCGUUUACAGAACACCUGAACAAUAGAAAACAAGAGGAAAUGAUAUCUGAUUCUUUAGAAUUAUUUCUAAAAAUGUACUUAUAGCCAAGGAUUAAAACUUCGUACCAAAUUAUCAUUGAAGAAAAGUUGAAAGUCCUCAGUGUUCUGGAGGUAGUUUAUGGUUAUGCAGCCCAGAAGCCAAGGGAUCGCGAUGACAUAAAACUUGUGUGCAGUCAAACAGUAGAAUCAAGAAGGUAUUGGCCUUUUCAGUUCGAGUAAAAUAUGUUUACCAGCCAUCACCAUCAUUAUGAUCAAAGCUUGUGCAGUUGAUAUGAGUUUUGAAGCAAUGUACUUCGGGGAUCUGGAGGAUGAUGUGAAAAAGUAACGUCGAUUCCAGGAAAAUUCUGUAUCACCAGCAACUUAAUCGAUAUAACAGUCCCUCUGCAAAAACAUGCAACAGUGCAAUGAGUUUUCAGAUCCCAAGGAGGGCAAAAAAAAAAAAAAAAAAAAAAAAAAAAAAAAAAGACAUACUGGUUCGUGUAAUUGAAGUUUGUUGGAGUUUUGCUCAUCCCAAGUGGGUGUACUUUUUUUUCUUUGAUGGGUGUCUUCUAUUCUCCGGCGUCAGCUCAAUUACAAUCGAGCGAAGUUCACUUUGGCAGCUCGUUGUAAACUUUAAUAAUAUCAAAUACGUCCUUGACUAAA